UCCUGGCUCAGGAUGAACGCUGGCGGCGUGCCUAACACAUGCAAGUCGAGCGGGAGUACGUCAAACAGAGAUUCGUCAAAGCGAGACGUAUGAGAGCGGCGGACGGGUGAGUAACGCGUAGGUAACCUACCUUAAGCUGAGGGAUAACCCCAGGGAAACCCCGGGAUAAUACCACAUAAUGCGAUCUGGUCACAUGGCCGGAGCGCCAAAGAUUUAUCGGCAUAAGAUGGACCUGCGUCUGAUUAGCCAGUUGGUGGGGUAACGGCCUACCAAAGCAACGAUCAGUAGCCGACCUGAGAGGGUGAUCGGCCACAUUGGAACUGAGACACGGUCCAAACUCCUACGGGAGGCAGCAGUGGGGAAUAUUGCACAAUGGGCGCAAGCCUGAUGCAGCAACGCCGCGUGAGCGAAGAAGGUCUUCGGAUCGUAAAGCUCUGUCCUAAGGGACGAAGAAGUGACGGUACCUUAGGAGGAAGCCCCGGCUAACUACGUGCC
This 495-nucleotide ribosomal RNA is filed under the name uncultured bacterium. RNAcentral's name for it is "bacterial SSU rRNA". It matches the Rfam family "Bacterial small subunit ribosomal RNA", at positions 17 to 509 of the family's 1533-position model. The record is from RNAcentral.